CCUACGGGUGGCAGCAGUAGGGAAUCUUCGGCAAUGGACGAAAGUCUGACCGAGCAACGCCGCGUGAGUGAAGAAGGUUUUCGGAUCGUAAAACUCUGUUGGUAGAGAAGAACGUUGGUGAGAGUGGAAAGCUCAUCAAGUGACGGUAACUACCCAGAAAGGGACGGCUAACUACGUGCCAGCAGCCGCGGUAAUACGUAGGUCCCGAGCGUUGUCCGGAUUUAUUGGGCGUAAAGCGAGCGCAGGUGGUUUAUUAAGUCUGGUGUAAAAGGCAGUGGCUCAACCAUUGUAUGCAUUGGAAACUGGCAUGCUGGAGUGCCGGAGGGGCAAGCGGAAUUCCUAGUGUAGCGGUGAAAUGCGUAGAUAUUAGGAGGAACACCGGUGGCGAAGGCGGCUUGCUGGACGGUAACUGACGUUGAGGCUCGAAAGCGUGGGGAGCAAACAGGAUUAGAUACCCUGGUAGUC
This 465-nucleotide ribosomal RNA is filed under the name uncultured bacterium. Its description in RNAcentral is "partial 16S ribosomal RNA". It matches the Rfam family "Bacterial small subunit ribosomal RNA", at positions 338 to 795 of the family's 1533-position model. The record is from RNAcentral.